AUUGAACGCUGGCGGCAUGCCUUACACAUGCAAGUCGAACGGCAGCACGGGAGCAAUCCUGGUGGCGAGUGGCGAACGGGUGAGUAAAGUAUCGGAACGUGCCCAGUCGUGGGGGAUAACGUAGCGAAAGUUACGCUAAUACCGCAUACGAUCGAUGGAUGAAAGCGGGGGAUCGCAAGACCUCGCGCGAUUGGAGCGGCCGAAAUCAGAUUAGGUAGUUGGUGGGGUAAAGGCUCACCAAGCCGACGAUCUGUAGCUGGUCUGAGAGGACGACCAGCCACACUGGGACUGAGACACGGCCCAGACUCCUACGGGAGGCAGCAGUGGGGAAUUUUGGACAAUGGGCGAAAGCCUGAUCCAGCCAUGCCGCGUGCAGGAUGAAGGCCUUCGGGUUGUAAACUGCUUUUGUACGGAACGAAAAGGUUUGGGCUAAUAAGCUGAGCUCAUGACGGUACCGUAAGAAUAAGCACCGGCUAACUACGUGCCAGCAGCCGCGGUAA
This 500-nucleotide ribosomal RNA is filed under the name uncultured bacterium. RNAcentral describes it as "partial 16S ribosomal RNA". It matches the Rfam family "Bacterial small subunit ribosomal RNA", at positions 29 to 523 of the family's 1533-position model. The record is from RNAcentral.